UAAAGCUAAUAAGAGCGCAGGGCGGAUGCCUUGGCAUUGGGAACCGAAGAAGGACGUGGUUAACUGCGAAAAGCUGCGGCGAGUUGUAAGCGAACAAAGACCCGCAGAUAUCCGAAUGGAGCAAUCCAUAUGAGAGAAGCUCAUAUAUCAUAUACUGAAUACAUAGGUAUAUGAGGGGAACCUCCUGAACUGAAACAUCUAAGUAGGGAGAGGAAGAGAAAUCAACCGAGAUUUCGUAAGUAGUGGCGAGCGAAAGCGAAAGAGGCCAAACCGUAAUCAGCAAUGAAUACGGGGUUGCGGACUGCAAUUAGCAUUGUCAAAGCCUAGUUGAACAGGAUGGGAAGCCUGACCAAAGAAUGUGAGAGUCAUGUAAAUGAAAGGCAGAGACAGCGAGCAGGAUCCAGAGUACCGCGGGACACGUGAAACCCCGUGGGAAGCCGGGGGGACCACCCUCCAAGCCUAAAUAUUCCCCAAUGACCGAUAGCGAAGAGUACUGUGAAGGAAAGGUGAAAAGAACCCCGGGAGGGGAGUGAAAAAGAACCUGAAACCCUGUGCUUACAAGCACUGAGAGCACGUCAAAGUGUGAUCAGGUACCUUUUGUAGAAUGGUCCGGCGAGUUAUCAUAUGUAGCAAGGUUAAGGACUUAAGGUCUGAAGCCGAAGCGAGAGCGAGUCUUAACAGGGCGAGAAGUUACAUGUGAUAGACCCGAAACCGAGUGACCUAGCCAUGUCCAGGCUGAAGUGGAGGUAAAACUCCAUGGAGGGCCGAACCGACCCCCGUUGAAAAGGUGGCGGAUGAGGUGUGGCUAGCGGAGAAAUUCCAAUCGAACUCGGAUAUAGCUGGUUCUCCCCGAAAUAGCUUUAGGGCUAGCGUUGUAUUAGAUUACCGGAGGUAAAGCACUGAAUGGGCUAGGGGCCGAGAGGUUACUGAACCUUAUCAAACUAAGAAUGCCGGAUAAUUGAUGUACAGCAGUCAGACUAUGUGAGAUAAGUCUCAUAGUCAAAAGGGAAACAGCCCAGACCCACAGCUAAGGUCCCGAAAUAGAUUUAAGUGGAAAAGGAUGUGGGGUUGCACAGACAACCAGGAUGUUGGCUUAGAAGCAGCCACUCAUUAAAAGAGUGCGUAAUAGCUCACUGGUCGAGUGACCCUGCGCCGAAAAUUCAACGGGGCUAAAAUCUAUACCGAAGCUUGGGCUGCAAUACGAAAGUAUUGCGGGGUAGGGGAGCGUCGUAUAAGAGGAGAAGUCAUAGCGGAAGCGAUGGUGGAUUUUAUACGAGUGAGAAUGCCGGAAUGAGUAGCGAGAAUUAUGUGAGAAUCAUAAUGGCCGAAAGUCUAAGGAUUUAGGAGGAAGGUUCGUCCGCUCCUAGUAAGCCGGGAGCUAAGGCGAGGCGGAAACGCGUAGCCGAUGCACAUACGGUAGAAAUUCCGUAGCCUCUGAAAGAUUAAAGCACAAGGACACUUGAGAAGCGUUUAGCCGGGCGUUGGUUGCCCCGGUCGUAAGGGACUCCGAAUGGAGGAAGUAAAUGUGGAUUGAGGCAAGAAAAGUUGUGUGAAUAUCUGAAGAGCCCGUACCGCAAACCGACACAGGUAGAUCAGGAGAGAAUUCUAAGGCCAACGGGAGAAGGGUUGUUAAGGAACUCGGCAAGUUGACCCCGUAACUUAGGGAGAAGGGGUGCUCGAAAGAGCCGCAGAGAAUAGGCCCAAGCGACUGUUUAGCAAAAACACAGCUCUAUGCUAAAUCGAAAGAUGACGUAUAUGGGGUGACACCUGCCCGGUGCUGGAAGGUUAAGAGGAGAGGUGAGCGCAAGCGAAGCUUUGAAUUGAAGCCCCAGUAAACGGCGGCCGUAACUAUAACGGUCCUAAGGUAGCGAAAUUCCUUGUCAGGUAAGUUCUGACCCGCACGAAUGGUGUAACGAUUUGGGCACUGUCUCAACAACCCACCCGGCGAAAUUGUAGUACCGGUGAAGAUGCCGGUUACCCGCGACUAGACGGAAAGACCCCAUGGAGCUUCACUGUAGCUUAAUAUUGAGUUUUGGUAUUUCAUGUACAGGAUAGGUGGGAGACUGAGAAGCAUAGGCGUCAGCUUAUGUGGAGUCGCUGUUGGGAUACCACUCUUGAAGUGCUGAAAUUCUAACCUGCGCCCUUGAAUCAGGGCGGGGGACAUUGUUAGGUGGGCAGUUUGACUGGGGCGGUCGCCUCCAAAA
Molecule: ribosomal RNA, 2204 nt
Filed under: human gut metagenome
Description: bacterial LSU rRNA
Rfam family: Bacterial large subunit ribosomal RNA
Source: RNAcentral